Molecule: ribosomal RNA, 253 nt
Filed under: uncultured bacterium
Lineage: Bacteria
Description: partial 16S ribosomal RNA
Rfam family: Bacterial small subunit ribosomal RNA
Source: RNAcentral
UACGUAGGUGGCGAGCGUUGUCCGGAAUUACUGGGUGUAAAGGGCGUGUAGGCGGGACUGUAAGUCAGAUGUGAAAUUCCAAGGCUUAACCUUGGCGCUGCAUCUGAAACUAUAGUUCUUGAGUGCUGGAGAGGAAAGCGGAAUUCCUAGUGUAGCGGUGAAAUGCGUAGAUAUUAGGAGGAACACCAGAGGCGAAGGCGGCUUUCUGGACAGUAACUGACGCUGAGGCGCGAAAGCGUGGGGAGCAAACAGG